Long non-coding RNA from Oenanthe melanoleuca, 2269 nucleotides. RefSeq lists it as uncharacterized. The record is from RefSeq and is a predicted model, not a curated record. Lineage: Eukaryota; Metazoa; Chordata; Aves; Passeriformes; Muscicapidae. The transcript is spliced from 3 exons.
AGUUUUGUGCAAGCUCACUGUUGUCCCAAGUUGCCACACAGUUCCCUCAUUCCAACUUCUCAACUCAGUAGGGAUCAAACCAAUGACUUUCCUGCUCUCCAUUUUUAACUGAUGCACAUUACCAGCCUCUUCCAGCUUUCCUGGGCAAUGUCUGGAUGCAGGAGUCCUGGCUGGGAAGCCCAAGGCAGGCAGCAGCUCAGUCUCAGGCUGGAGUCAGGGAGAGCUGUUCAGGACAUGCUGCUCUGGAUUCCUGACUGUCUGGGAGGCAAAAGCCUCAGGAGCAGCAGCUGAGGGGGGCAGCUCUGAGGAGAGGCUGCUGCAGCUAAGACAGAACAAAGAACAGGGAGCAGAAGAUUCCACUGCCUGGACUUCAGGGAUAUCAAAUUAUUGCUGCAUUUGCACAUGCAGCAUUGGAGUGCUGGUUUGAUAAAAAGGUGUGUGAUUAUGGUAAAUCCUCCCUGAAGCCCUUCUGUUGACAGGACUGGGGCUGCUUGAUAACAAAGGGAUUGUUUAUCUUGCUGGUGCACAGUUCAUGAGCCUGCUCUGCAGCAUCUCCCAGGACAGGAAUUCCAGGGCCUGAGGAGCAGGGCUCAUGCCACCCCACACAGCAUCUCCAGUUCCAGCCUCUCUGCUGUGCACAGGCCAGGAAGGCCAAUUUGCUCUUUGCUCUGCUACUUGUGCUGCAUCAGAUGGAACAAAUAGGGAACUUCAUGCUUGAGAGGCAUCAGAUAAAGACAGAAAGAGGUUCAAAUUCUGGGCACAGAAUUAACUUUUACCUUCCUGAAAGCUGAACUGUAGCAACUCCAGUCCAGCAACAGAAACUGAAUGAAUUCCAACAUGACAUCAACUAAAAUUCUGGGGAUGAAAUAAACCCAUUGCAAGAACCUUGUAACCAGCCCUUCUCAGAUAACUACUGAUCCUCAUAUUUGUCACUCCAAACCAACUUUCUUCCCUGUCACAAACAAUCAGUAAAAUUUUGAGAGCCAAGUGGCACAACAGCUCACUGCAGAUAUUAUUUCAAGUUCUGCUUCUAUUACAAGCAAGGAAAAUUCUUGGCACAUUGAGAAUAAUUUCUUUCAGUAGGCACAGAUUUGUCUCACAAAGGUCUAGAACUGGCAAGUCUUGACUUACAGACUGUGCAGGUCAGAACCAGACUUCAAAAGGAUCAAGAGGAAUGCACACUGUGAGCUCUGUUCAGAAGAUACUAAGUUUUAAAAAUAAAACUAACAGUUAAUCUAAUAAUCAUUCAAGCAUGGCCUGCUGGGUACAAGUACUGCAGGGCAACUUACUUUUGAUCAAGCCUUAAAAUAAUUACAGCAGGAUUUGUGUUUGCAACAUGAGUUUUAAUCUGUCCAAGGCACUGGAGGAGUAAGUGAACCAGAGCAGCCUUCCUUGUGCAAGCAGCACACAGAGCUGAUCCCAAGAAGGAUCAGAAAACUGAUUUAUGAUCAAUUCGUAUGAUCUGGGAUUCACACCUACUGGGAAACAUCACAAGGGCAGAACAGAUCUCAGAACUUGCUACAGAAUGUAAAGUGUAAAAGGGACAGAUUUCUGUGAGGUGUUAGUUCACAAUCAUGGGGAAAAUGAGGAUUAAAAAAACCUGGGAACUUUCAGAGCCAUAAAAUGGAAAAAACCUCACAGGAAAAGAAAACUAUAUAUGUACUGCAAGGUAGGAUCCAAAUCAAGAGGUGUACAUUUUAAUCUCUGCUAUGGUAUGACUGGAGUAUUCUAUAAUCAAUUAUUACUAAGAGCCAAAGAUGGGGGAAAUGUCUAACACCUCCUACAGCCUUCCCAGUUUGGGCAACUGCAGCUGAGCAAGCCCUGCCUUGCUGCUCACCACAGUGAUGCACAGGUAGUGGCAGUGAGGAAGGGGAGUGGGAUGAGCAGAGGGAGCUGCAGGUGAGGGGGAUGAGCACAGAGGAGAGCUGGAGGUGAGGGGAUGGGCAGGGGAGCUGGAGGUGAGGAGAUGAGCACAGGGAGCUGGAGGUGAGGGGGAUGAGCAGGGGAGCUGGAGGUGAGGAGAUGAGCAGGGGAGCUGGAGGUGAGGAGAUGAACAGGGGAGCUGGAGGUGAGGGGAUGAGCAGGGGAGCUGGAGGUGAGGAGGGGAGCUGGAGGUGAGGGGAUGAGCAGGGGAGCUGGAGGUGAGGAGAUGAGCACAGAGGAGAGCUGGAGGUAAGGGGGAUGAGCACAGGGAGCUGGAGGUGAGGAGAUGAGCAGGGGAGCUGGAGGUGAGGGGAUGAGCAGGGGAGCUGGAGGUGAGGAGAUGAGC